This 2608-nucleotide long non-coding RNA is filed under the name Gossypium barbadense (sea-island cotton). RNAcentral describes it as "long non-coding RNA (GBAR_LNC011231)". The record is from RNAcentral. Lineage: Eukaryota; Viridiplantae; Streptophyta; Magnoliopsida; Malvales; Malvaceae.
AUAGCAACUCAUAUUUUUUAAAAAUAUAUAAAUUAUAUAAUUGUGUAAUUACAAUUUUUACAACCAAAUAUGGCAUUGCAACCAAAUAAUUGUUUUGUGUUGUCCAAUCAUACCCUUGAUGUAAAAUAUAUAUGUAAAAAAGAGAUAAAUAGUCGGAAAGUAUAAAAAUGUUAAAAUUGUGCCAAUUGAAUCUUAGCUCGAUUGACAUAUGAAUUGUUGUCAAUGCAGGAGGACGUGGGUUCAAGUGCGCUGGAGCGCAUUAUCUUCCUAUUUAUGAGUUGGGGAGGGGUUAAGAGCAUAUAUGAUCAGAACUUAUAAUGAAAUAGUUAAAUCCAUAAUUUUUUAGAAAUUUAAAUUUAUUACGAAAUAAAUAUUCCAUAAAUCAUGAACUUAAUUUUUCAAAAUUUAAACCUCACAAGUGGGUUUAGGCUACAACAAACGUUACAUUUUUGGUUAAAAUGCGCCAAAAGUCUCUUUAUUUUUUAAAAAUUAGAAAUUUAGUCCUUAUACUUUUAUUUUAUGGAAUUUAAUCUCUCUACUUUUUAAAUUUCAAAAAAGCAGCUCCAACUAUUAAAUACUGUUAAAUCUAAGGCUGUGUUUGGUAACCAUGAAAAUAUUUUCCGGAAAAUGUUUUCCUAAUUUUACGCUGUUUGGUUACAUGAAAAUAUUUUACAUAAGUAAAACGUUUUCAGAAACCCGGUAAAAUGGGAUGCUUUUUAUGUAAAAUGUCUUACGGAUUUUUUUUCCGUAAGACAUUUUCCAAACUCUCACUUUCCCUUGCGCCGUUCAUCUUCCUUCUUCUUCAUCCAUCUAGGUAUUUUCCACUUUUACUUCUUCUGUUCUUCUUCUUCCAUUUUUCCUUUCGCAUAAUCUCUUCUAAUGGUAGCUUUUCGGUCUUAGGUGCUUUCUCUUUCGCAUACAACUGGUAUCAUCCUUGCGUCGUUCUUCAUCUUCUCAUCCAGGUAACUUUUCUCCUCUUCUUCUUCUUCCAUUCUUCAUCUUUAAUUGAAAGUGUAAAAACGUUAUUUAAGCAAAUAUACAGAGGACAGGAGCAUUUAAGGGUUUAGACAAAUACACCAAAAACCUCACGCUUAGGCUUCUUGUUUUUCCCUUUUCUACUAAUACCCACUUACCCCAUCUCUACAAUCUGCUUUUUUUUUUCAUGUGACAGUUUAAAACAUUGAAUUGAAGGUUAUUGACUGGAUUUUCUAUUUCUGGAUUUUAAACAGUUUAAAAUUAUAUAUGCUUAUCUCCAUUUGUUUAAGUUAAAUGAGGUUAGUUGAUUAUCACUUGGAAGUUGUCAAAAAAAAAAAACUCCUUAAAUCAUGAAACAAAGACAUUUGUGGAAACAUUAAUGCCAUAGUGAUGAACUUAGAUAUGCUGAUUAACGAUCUUGACAAACUAGCAGAGGGAAAGGGAGCUCAAUUCAGAGGAGCUUACUCUUAAAGAAAAAUACCCAGCAAGCUUCCACUAAAAAAUCCUAAUAAGGUGUGGAGGGUACAACCGCUCCACAUGCUUAAGACUUCAUGGAGUAUAGAAUUUUAAAGGAUAUAAAAAAAUACAGGUUAAAUAUAUCCUAUUCCAGGUGCUUGAAAUUCUAAAAUUCCAAUUUGGAAAUCUUCAAAUUUUCAAAACAUUAUAUGAUUAAUUUAGGAAAGGCAGUAAAUUCAUUUUUAUGGAAUCUACAAAUCAAGUUCAAAUGAUUCUAUGGCCGUUCCAAAGCUAACAACAUAGUACAAAAUCUAACGAGGGACCUCAACUAAUAGUCUUUACAAGAUAGAUAUCCUUUAGUGAUAUAUAGACUAAUUCCAUUUUGAUCUGCAGGAAAAAAAACAGUUGAUAAAUAGCUUAAAAUUUAGACUAUUACACAAGAAACACAAGGCAGUAUGCAGUUUAUUUCUGAGUUUAUUUGUGUUUAGGCAGUAUGCCUUUGCAAGUUAUAUGACUAAAAUGCUGUUAAAAGUAGCAGUGGUUUUCUUUAUUUUUUCAUCUCUAUUUUUUCUUUUGUCAUUUUGUCUGAAUUGAUAAUUAUUGAGGACGAACUUUACUUACUAUUUUUGAUCAUUUGUAACUGUUUAAGCUUCAAAUUUUGAAUAACAAAGAGGUAUUUUUAAGGUAUCUUAUGAUGGCCAUUGCAUUCAAAGCUACAAAGAUUGGAAGCUUUAAAAUGAGAACUUGGAAUAGCAUGGAAACAAUCACCUAGAGUGACUUGUGGGAAUUAGAUUUUUGUCUGGUUUGAGGUUUGUUCAACAGAUAGGUGUAAUUUGGGAUUUUAUGGUUCUGUUUGUUGCGAUCUGUCUAUGUUUAUGUUUUUAGGAUGGGUCAUUUUGUACCUGUUGAUUACUUUGUUUUUAUGCAGCUUUCAUAGUUGUUGUACUAGCAAAAAAAAUAAUAAGUCAAAUAAUAUAUAUUUUAUUUUUUAAGUUCAUGGUUAUUGGCAGUGUCUGAAUAUGCUUACUAGAUUUUUCAUUUUAAAAUAUGAUUUAUGAUUAAAAAAAAGUCAUGUAAAAGUGUGUAGUUUUUUGCCUUAAGCAAUCGGUAGUUCAAUUGUCUUUUGGUCUACUAUUGUUAUCAUCACAAAAUUAACUUGUAAUGGUCUCAAUUGAAA